Molecule: non-coding RNA, 100 nt
Filed under: Clostridium estertheticum
Lineage: Bacteria; Bacillati; Bacillota; Clostridia; Eubacteriales; Clostridiaceae
Description: Guanine sequence
Rfam family: Purine riboswitch aptamer
About the family: Riboswitches are metabolite binding domains within certain messenger RNAs that serve as precision sensors for their corresponding targets. Allosteric rearrangement of mRNA structure is mediated by ligand binding, and this results in modulation of gene expression.
Source: RNAcentral
AAAACGAAUAAUCAGUUCAUCGAUAUAUUUCUAGGGAAAUGGCUUAGAAGUUUCUACGAGAGGCCGUUAACUUCUCACUAUUGGUGAAUCUUGAAUUGAA